RNAcentral lists this ribosomal RNA (410 nucleotides) under uncultured Gammaproteobacteria bacterium. RNAcentral describes it as "bacterial SSU rRNA". It matches the Rfam family "Bacterial small subunit ribosomal RNA", at positions 370 to 779 of the family's 1533-position model. Lineage: Bacteria; Pseudomonadati; Pseudomonadota; Gammaproteobacteria. The record is from RNAcentral.
AAUGGGCGCAAGCCUGAUCCAGCUAUCCCGCGUGCAGGAUGACGGCCUAUGGGUUGUAAACUGCUUUUGUACAGGAAGAACGCCCUCAUUUAUGAGGGCCUGACGGUACUGUAAGAAUAAGCACCGGCUAACUCCGUGCCAGCAGCCGCGGUAAUACGGAGGGUGCAAGCGUUAUCCGGAAUCACUGGGUUUAAAGGGUGCGUAGGCGGCGCUAUAAGUCAGAGGUGAAAGGCCACAGCUUAACUGUGGGACUGCCUUUGAUACUGUAGUGCUUGAAUUAGGCUGAGGUCGGCGGAAUGUGACAUGUAGCGGUGAAAUGCUUAGAUAUGUCAUAGAACACCAAUUGCGAAGGCAGCUGACUAGACCUUAAUUGACGCUGAGGCACGAAAGCGUGGGGAGCGAACAGGAUU